RNAcentral lists this long non-coding RNA (600 nucleotides) under Homo sapiens (human). RNAcentral describes it as "HSALNT0345248". Lineage: Eukaryota; Metazoa; Chordata; Mammalia; Primates; Hominidae. The record is from RNAcentral.
AAGAGCGAGACUUCAUCUCAAAAACAAACAGGAAACCUGUCAGAUCAUGUGCAAGAAGUAAGCGAAGUGGUGAGAACUGGGUGGGGGAGACACAGCCCUCGACACAGGGAGAGCACCCCGUGCGGGAGGAGCCUUCAGUACAAGAGACUUGGUCUGCCAUCAAGUGGCUCUCUGCACUGUUGACAAUUGUCAGUCAUUUAAGACAGAGGAGGCCGGGCAUGGUGACUCAUGCCUGUUAUCCCAGCAUUUUGGGAGGCCAAAGCAAGUGGAUCACUUCAGGCCUGCAGUUCGAGACCACCUGGGACAACAUGGUUCAUUCACCUGUUGCCAACAACAUGAGGGAGUUUCUCCACAGCCCUUGAUUCCUGAAUUGUUCAACAAAUCAACAGUCACCAAUACAUUGACUUAAGGAGUAAACAAGCAGCUUUUCUCUACACACCACCGGGCACCCCAGGAAGGCGCAGCUCCCUGCUCCACGACCGCCUCUUGGUGCCUGUAUCCAGCAGAAGGACCCAGCAGGAGGCUGAAUCCAAGCACUGCUCUCAGGCCACUCUAUCCUCAUCCCUGGAUCCUCCAGGGAACAAGAUAAAAAAAAAAAAA